Molecule: ribosomal RNA, 1467 nt
Filed under: Salmonella enterica
Lineage: Bacteria; Pseudomonadati; Pseudomonadota; Gammaproteobacteria; Enterobacterales; Enterobacteriaceae
Description: 16S ribosomal RNA
Rfam family: Bacterial small subunit ribosomal RNA
Source: RNAcentral
AUUGAACGCUGGCGGCAGGCCUAACACAUGCAAGUCGAACGGUAACAGGAAGCAGCUUGCUGCUUUGCUGACGAGUGGCGGACGGGUGAGUAAUGUCUGGGAAACUGCCUGAUGGAGGGGGAUAACUACUGGAAACGGUGGCUAAUACCGCAUAACGUCGCAAGACCAAAGAGGGGGACCUUCGGGCCUCUUGCCAUCAGAUGUGCCCAGAUGGGAUUAGCUUGUUGGUGAGGUAACGGCUCACCAAGGCGACGAUCCCUAGCUGGUCUGAGAGGAUGACCAGCCACACUGGAACUGAGACACGGUCCAGACUCCUACGGGAGGCAGCAGUGGGGAAUAUUGCACAAUGGGCGCAAGCCUGAUGCAGCCAUGCCGCGUGUAUGAAGAAGGCCUUCGGGUUGUAAAGUACUUUCAGCGGGGAGGAAGGUGUUGUGGUUAAUAACCGCAGCAAUUGACGUUACCCGCAGAAGAAGCACCGGCUAACUCCGUGCCAGCAGCCGCGGUAAUACGGAGGGUGCAAGCGUUAAUCGGAAUUACUGGGCGUAAAGCGCACGCAGGCGGUCUGUCAAGUCGGAUGUGAAAUCCCCGGGCUCAACCUGGGAACUGCAUUCGAAACUGGCAGGCUUGAGUCUUGUAGAGGGGGGUAGAAUUCCAGGUGUAGCGGUGAAAUGCGUAGAGAUCUGGAGGAAUACCGGUGGCGAAGGCGGCCCCCUGGACAAAGACUGACGCUCAGGUGCGAAAGCGUGGGGAGCAAACAGGAUUAGAUACCCUGGUAGUCCACGCCGUAAACGAUGUCUNCUUGGAGGUUGUGCCCUUGAGGCGUGGCUUCCGGAGCUAACGCGUUAAGUAGACCGCCUGGGGAGUACGGCCGCAAGGUUAAAACUCAAAUGAAUUGACGGGGGCCCGCACAAGCGGUGGAGCAUGUGGUUUAAUUCGAUGCAACGCGAAGAACCUUACCUGGUCUUGACAUCCACAGAACUUUCCAGAGAUGGAUUGGUGCCUUCGGGAACUGUGAGACAGGUGCUGCAUGGCUGUCGUCAGCUCGUGUUGUGAAAUGUUGGGUUAAGUCCCGCAACGAGCGCAACCCUUAUCCUUUGUUGCCAGCGGUCCGGCCGGGAACUCAAAGGAGACUGCCAGUGAUAAACUGGAGGAAGGUGGGGAUGACGUCAAGUCAUCAUGGCCCUUACGACCAGGGCUACACACGUGCUACAAUGGCGCAUACAAAGAGAAGCGACCUCGCGAGAGCAAGCGGACCUCAUAAAGUGCGUCGUAGUCCGGAUUGGAGUCUGCAACUCGACUCCAUGAAGUCGGAAUCGCUAGUAAUCGUGGAUCAGAAUGCCACGGUGAAUACGUUCCCGGGCCUUGUACACACCGCCCGUCACACCAUGGGAGUGGGUUGCAAAAGAAGUAGGUAGCUUAACCUUCGGGAGGGCGCUUACCACUUUGUGAUUCAUGACUGGGGUGAAG